UGACAUGUAAUAAUGUACUGUCACAGAGCUGCGAAAAAUCAACAUACUGUCACAGAGCUGCGAAACAUCAACAUACUGUCACAGAGCUGCGAAACAUCAACCUACUGUCACAGUGGCGAGAAAAAAGUGACAAAAAGGCGACAAACAACGAAAAAGGAAACAAAAAAGUGACUAAAGGCGACAAAAAAGUGUUAAAGGUGUGACCGUUGUCUCCAGGUAAAGAGGUAAAGGUGUGACUGUUGUCUCCAGGUAAAGAGGUAAAGGUGUGACUGUUGUCUCCAGGUAAAGAGGUAAAGGUGUGACUGUUGUCUCCAGGUAAAGAGGUAAAGGUGUGACUGUUGUCUCCAGGUAAAGAGGUAAAGGUGUGACUGUUGUCUCCAGGUAAAGAGGUAAAGGUGUGACUGUUGUCUCCAGGUAAAGAGGUAAAGGUGUAACUGUUGUCUCCAGAUAAAGAGGUAAAGGUGUAACUGUUGUCUCCAGGUAAAGAGGUAAAGGUGUGACUGUUGUCUCCAGAUAAAGAGGUAAAGGUGUAACUGUUGUCUCCAGGUAAAGAGGUAAAGGUGUGACUGUUGUCUCCAGGUAAAGAGGUAAAGGUGUAACUGUUGUCUCCAGGUAAAGAGGUAAAGGUGUGACUGUUGUCUCCAGAUAAAGAGGUAAAGGUGUAACUGUUGUCUCCAGGUAAAGAGGUAAAGGUGUAACUGUUGUCUCCAGGUAAAGAGGUAAAGGUGUAACUGUUGUCUCCAGGUAAAGAGGUAAAGGUGUGACUCUUGUCUCCAGAUAAAGAGGUAAAGGUGUGACUGUUGUCUCCAGAUAAAGAGGUAAAGGUGUGACUGUUGUCUCCAGAUAAAGAGGUAAAGGUGUGACUAAAGGUGUGACUGUUGUCUCCAGGUAAAGAGGUAAAGGUGUGACUAAAGGUGUGACUGUUGUCUCCAGGUAAAGAGGUAAAGGUGUGACUGUUUUCUCCAGGUAAAGAGGUAAAGGUGUGACUAAAGGUGUGACUGUUGUCUCCAGGUAAAGAGGUAAAGGUGUGACUAAAGGUGUGACUGUUGUCUCCAGAUAAAGAGGUAAAGGUGUGACUGUUGUCUCCAGGUAAAGAGGUAAAGGUGUGACUGUUGUCUCCAGAUAAAGAGGUAAAGGUGUGACUGUUGUCUCCAGAUAAAGAGGUAAAGGUGUGACUGUUGUCUCCAGGUAAAGAGGUAAAGGUGUGACUGUUGUCUCCAGGUAAAGAGGUAAAGGUGUGACUGUUGUCUCCAGGUAAAGAGGUAAAGGUGUGACUGUUGUCUCCAGGUAAAGAGGUAAAGGUGUGACUGUUGUCUCCAGGUAAAGAGGUAAAGGUGUGACUAAAGGUGUGACUGUUGUCUCCAGGUAAAGAGGUAAAGGUGUGACUGUUGUCUCCAGGUAAAGAGGUAAAGGUGUGACUAAAGGUGUGACUGUUGUCUCCAGGUAAAGAGGUAAAGGUGUGACUAAAGGUGUGACUGUUGUCUCCAGGUAAAGAGGUAAAGGUGUGACUAAAGGUGUGACUGUUGUCUCCAGGUAAAGAGGUAAAGGUGUGACUGUUGUCUCCAGAUAAAGAGGUAAAGGUGUGACUGUUGUCUCCAGGUAAAGAGGUAAAGGUGUGACUGUUGUCUCCAGGUAAAGAGGUAAAGGUGUGACUGUUGUCUCCAGGUAAAGAGGUAAAGGUGUGACUAAAGGUGUGACUGUU
Long non-coding RNA from Perca fluviatilis (European perch), 1702 nucleotides. RefSeq lists it as uncharacterized. The transcript has 3 exons. Lineage: Eukaryota; Metazoa; Chordata; Actinopteri; Perciformes; Percidae. The record is from RefSeq and is a predicted model, not a curated record.